Pocillopora damicornis (cauliflower coral) is the source of this 460-nucleotide long non-coding RNA. RefSeq lists it as uncharacterized. NCBI's taxonomy places the organism in Eukaryota, Metazoa, Cnidaria, Anthozoa, Scleractinia, Pocilloporidae. The record is from RefSeq and is a predicted model, not a curated record.
UCUUAUUCUGGCCACACUGGAAUUCCGCUCUUAAAAUUGAAAUAAAGUACUAAACUGAUCUUAACUAAAGAAUGUUGAUUUAGUUACAAUAAGCUGAAUUUUAGCCAUUAUAAGGAUUCCUAAGGCAACCAAAAUCUAAAUGUGCCACCUUACAAUAUUUUGCAAGAAAUCAACCUUUACAAGACUCAGCUUGUAAGGACAGCAGAUAGUGGCAUUCGAUAAAAGUUCGCUGAAGUCAGCAACAAAUUUGACAGGUGGUGAACAGGAUGAUUAUGCAAUAUGGAAAUAGUGGAAAACCAUGCUAGAAAAGAUAUCCUGAACUCUCAGGUCUGCUCCGAUCGCAUGAUUGCAAUUUUACUCGAGAUCCGAGUACUCCCGAGAGGUUAUUUCCGUCCUAACCGAUUAGGAAACGUGGGAGGACAAGUAUUUCCGAACUAUGGGCGAGGUUGGAGAGAGAACU